GCGGACGUGGCGAAAUUGGUAGACGCAAGAGACUUAAAAUCUCUCGGCCACAGGCUGUACGGGUUCGACCCCCGUCGUCCGCACCA
RNAcentral lists this transfer RNA (86 nucleotides) under Rhizobium sp. CFBP 8762. Its description in RNAcentral is "tRNA-Leu". It matches the Rfam family "tRNA". From Rfam's summary of the family: Transfer RNA (tRNA) molecules are approximately 80 nucleotides in length. The record is from RNAcentral. Lineage: Bacteria; Pseudomonadati; Pseudomonadota; Alphaproteobacteria; Hyphomicrobiales; Rhizobiaceae.